RNAcentral lists this transfer RNA (85 nucleotides) under Xenopus laevis (African clawed frog). It matches the Rfam family "tRNA". From Rfam's summary of the family: Transfer RNA (tRNA) molecules are approximately 80 nucleotides in length. Their secondary structure includes four short double-helical elements and three loops (D, anti-codon, and T loops). Lineage: Eukaryota; Metazoa; Chordata; Amphibia; Anura; Pipidae. The record is from Rfam by way of RNAcentral.
CCUUCGAUAGCUCAGCUGGUAGAGCGGAGGACUGUAGAGGAAUAUAGCAAUCCUUAGGUCGCUGGUUCAAUUCCGGCUCGAAGGA